Molecule: long non-coding RNA, 14029 nt
Filed under: Solanum tuberosum (potato)
Lineage: Eukaryota; Viridiplantae; Streptophyta; Magnoliopsida; Solanales; Solanaceae
Description: long non-coding RNA (STUB_LNC003008)
Source: RNAcentral
CUAUGGGCUGUAGUCAAUUCAUGAUGCCUCCCAUUCAUAUAAACGUGCAAAAGUAUAAAUAUUGGUGUUACAUUUGUAUUUAUAUAUAACUUUUGCUGGUAAGGGGCAUCUGGUCAUAAUGUCACUUCACCAGUAUUGAGCAUUAGAACAUGGCUGAACAACAUUUCACUAUUUAGCACCCUAUGAUGCUAAGUACACAAGUCUCUUAAAAGCAUGUGGUGUUAGACAUAUGUAAAAUCAGUAUAGUACCAUAAAUCAAAGGAGGAAACACCAAAAACUCAGGCUAUGGAACUCACAAUAUUGAUCACAUCAAUGGAAAUUUUCAAAAGAUUCAACUUCAUUUUCAGCAAGGAGCCUAGGCUUCUGGUUUACAGAAGGCAUAUGAUUCUUGGCUCCAAAGAAUGAGAAAAUAUCUGAUCAUUUUGCUGCCAAAAACAUCACACAAAAGAUCAUGCUGGUGUUGGUACCUUGCCUUCUUCAACUUGAGAAGGUCUGAAAUUGAACACUCCAGCUAGUCCUCGUCCCUUGCCAACUGUUCAAGCUCUUGAAUUUUGCUUUUCAGGCUCUCCACCUCUCGUGACAAUGAGUCAUCUCUUUCCCUCAUUUGCUGAGAAAAAACACAAGGAUCUCAAAUAUAGCUCAAACAAAUUUCAAGAAGGAUGAAUUUCAGUUCAUUAUAAGAGCUAAUAGGGGUUUUUGAUCUCAACUCAUGAUGUAAUAGAACAUAAUUGUUUAACACCAGAAUCAAUAAAAUUCAAAUUAGCAAAUUACAACAGUUCCUUCUGCUGCUACAAAGAGCCAGGUAAAUCAGGGUGCAUUUUCAGGUUUGGUAAUAGAAAUGAUAUGUAAUUAAAGGGAUACUUGGUGCAUCCACCUAUCUUCUCUAAGAGAAGUAUGCAAGAGCAAUGAUGGAAGUGGCACAAAAUUGCUCCGUUAUGUUAUCCAGAAAGUGCUCGCUUUACUGGGCCCAUUCCAUGAAAUUACAUUGAGAUAGAAUAAGUAACCAUAACCUAAUUUAUAAUAAUAAUAAUAAUAUUUAUAAGUAAUAAUAAGAAUACUUAAAAAAUGGACCUUGUCAACUCAACCUCAAGAGUUAGCUCUUAAGAAUUUUAGUCAGUAACCAUAAACUUGAGAAAGAGAUGCAAAGGUAGAUGUUUACUGAGAUAACAUCACAGGAACAAACAUAUACUUUUAGGAAUGUUCAGUGUUUUUGGUUUUGGGUGAUAUGAAAGAGUUUGUCAAGACCAAACAAGUAACCGAAGAAUUCGAGAGACUACCUCCAGCUCUUGCCUGCGAAGUUCCUCCUUUUUGGCUUCGGAUCAAGAACUUCUUUGCACCUCAAAGUAAAGUGCAGCAACUGCAACUGUUUCAGCAAUUUAAGGAAGUAGCCAAAGCACAAAAUUAGACAACAUAAAGGUGCUAGAUGCAAGAUACCAAAGUCAAGGGCUAUUGCAUCACUCCAAACUAACCACCAUUAUUAAUAGAUUCAACCAAAUAUAAUGAUGCCCUCUCCAAGCUGUAUUGUUCAUGAUUCAUUACUGUCUCACUCACAAGAAAUUCACAAACAAAUGAAACAGAUUAUUUUUGUUACUACCUGUUGUUUCCUAUGCUUCGGUUAUCACAUUAUUUGAUUGUUGUUACUGUUCCUUGUUUUCUGAAUGCUAUGUAGUGUUUUCCCUAUUGUUUGCUAUGUCCUCAUUACUUUUGGAUUUUUCUCUUCAAACAACUUUGAUAUACAUUACUUGAGUCGAGGGUCUUUCAAAUACAAUUUCUCUACCUCCACGAGGUAGGGGUAAAGUUUGAGUACACUCAACCCUCCUCGGAUCCCACCACCUGUGGGAUUACACUGGGUAUGUUGUUGUUGUUGGAUAAAGCCAACUGGUUGCCCCUCAUUCUAAUUCAUAUUGUGUAUGAUUAUGAAAUGCUAAAGUAAAGCUUCCAGAUUUGCAAAAGAAUAAUAGACUUUCAGUGAUCAAAUCAUAUGUCACUUAUGUGAGGUGGAAGAUUUUUUAACACCUAUAAGAAGGGGAAGGUUUUUUAACUAAGCAGAGAAAGAAGAUUAGAGUGGUUCCAAUUGAAGAUGCUAACUCAAUCCUGUAAGCCCGAGACAUAAAAUCAUAGACAUAAUAAGCACAGAUGGAAGUAAGAAAAGGGUAUGAGUUCAUGUGGCAGCUGGUGACUGUUAGUGGUCCGAAGAUUUGAGAAGUCAAUAGAGGUUGAUGAAAAAUGCAGAAGAAGAGUAUAAAACAUAUUUACUCCUAACACAAGGAUAUAACGUUGGCUAUUGACAGAUGGCACCAUUAAGAAUCCAUCUCAAAUAAACAGUGAAAACCGUACACUUCCUACUAAACUCUAAAGACAUCCAGAAGGUCAAGGAAGUUGGUGAUGUGAUGACAGGGGAGCCGGCGACCGAAGCCCGGCUGAAUGGCGGCCGUAACUAUAAGUGAAAUUUCUUGUCGGGUUAGCUUAUAAGUUGCAAGUCACAGUGAUGUUUUAGGUAUAUUUAUCUGAAAGUGAGAUAUUAGGGAUGUCUUCAAUAUAAUAUGUAGUGUUUCUGUACGAUCUAAAUUUUGCAUUGACCACUCCUAAAAAUUUAGAAUAAGCAGUAAUUAAAAGGAAAAGAUUAACUUCUCUCGUGUUGGGAUGUCAAGAAAGUUACCUGAAAAUAUAUUUCUUGAGAAAUUUGAUGUGAACAAAAGAAAAGGAAAUCAAAAAUCAUGUUCUUGCAUUUGUCUAUGUGAAAGGAAAUGGAGUUUAAAACACAAACUAUUUGCUUUCAAGUUAUCAAAAUAUUUUUCUGGGAUUAAACUUAGAGUCAAGUCUUUCAUGUAAGACAGUUUUCAUUGCUUGCUGACUAACCACACAUAUAAAGUGUAAAUGAUUAUCAUCUGUACAUUCCUUUCCCUCUCUUAGCAACAAAGGAUAAACAGAUAAGCACUAGGGCCCAGGGGUUCAAGUGUAACUCUUGGUACUUUCCUUUUCCUUACUUAGCAACCCGUGAUAACUAGAAGAGAAGGAGAUCGGCACUAGAACCCAAGAGUUCAAGUCUAACUCAUCCAAGAGAGCUGAAAGGGAACUUACCACAUAAACUCAGUUCAAAAUUUUGUAGCAAAACCAGAAAGUGCAGUCAGCGUAAAAUGUUGGUUAAAAUUAUACUUGAAAUCUUUUUGCUCUAAUAUUUCAGAAAAUAAAAGAGAAAAUAUAGAAGUCUUCAUCUGCCAGUAUUUUUUUGACAAUCCAAUAGUGUGAAAUCAGAAUUGUGAGGAACAAGAGGUUAGGCCUUCUAAUUCUAAGUCAAUGUAAUGGGCUGUAAAGGAUACUAUUUGGACAAGCUGCGAAAAGAAGAAUAGUUUCAUAACAUGUCAGUACUCUAUCAACUGCCCAAAGAAACUGACGAGAGACCCUGGACUUUGAUUUUCUUUUAUCUUCCAUUUCAACCAUCAUUACACCAAAAUGUGUUCAAUCAGCACACUACCAACAUUGAUUUAGUAUUUAAAGUGGGUAUUCAACAAGUAUCUUUAAAUUAGAGGAGUUUUCAGACAAAAGGACUUUCUUUUCCCGCUUUCACAAGUAAACAAUUCACGAAUAAAAAUUACUCCCAAAAAAUCAUUCAACUGAGGUUCAUCAUAUGGAACUUGGAAGUUUUAGAUCAAUUUUGUGUUGAUAGCACUAAUCAUAAUUCAUAGGAACUACUAAGCUUCACACAGAUCACCCAAAGCAAUAUGCUUCUAUAUUUUGACGACCAUGUAAAUUUAGUUAUACACAAUUCUCAACUCAAAUCUGCGUUAUUUAACAGCACUUGACUUAGGAGCUACUUGCUCAUGCAUGAUCAGUCAGAGUAAUACUCAUAAGCAGAUAUUUCAGAUUUGAAGCAAAUUUUAAAGCUAGCAGUGUAUCUCGAGAUGGUAGGUAUGAGACUUUCAUGUAUAUAAGUUUCAGAGCUCUAAGCUUUGUGUUUCAAACUCUUCCUGGGAAAGGAAAUCACAAGGCAGUUGAACAGAGAAGGAUUCAGUGGACCUGUUGGAUCAGGCUUAUUCCCACAUAUUGAUACAACGAGACUUCAAUGCCCAAGAUUUCAAGGGCUAUGUGAAUCAUUAGAAGUUGCCACAGCUAGUCUGGGUACAAAGGUUGCUACAUCCAUACUGCAGUCGGAGUGAAUAUCGUAUUUAAAAUGCACUAGAAUUCAAACCUUAGUUAGCAAAGUGUAUGCUCUUAUCUAAACAAUAAAAUGUUAUGUAUCAGUAAACAAACAGAGGAAGCUUAGAGAACUAUCUAGACAUGUCAUUACGGAGUCAAGUGGGUAGAAAAUGUUUGCAGUUAUUGUAACCGUUACCUCAUCCUAAAAAAGUUUUUCGAAACAAAAUCGAUUUAAAUCUUAUUUAAGAUCAACAAUGUAUUAAGAGAGAUUGAGUGGAUUAUUAAUUUAAAAGGAAUUAUUAAACAAAUCGAUUAUAAAUAGUAACUAACAAUUUCACAUCUAAAAAAGCUAGAAAAAUAAAUUUUGAACAAAAGUAUGUAUAAUGAAAAAUAAAAGUAUUAGGGCCCUCUCUUAUAUUUCGAUUUAGUCCCCCAAUCUUAUUGAGUCGGCCUUAGAGCUCGUUCAUAUUGAUGGUCUCAAACUUGGAAGUUAGAGGGUCAAUCAGAAACAAUCUCUCUACAUCACAAAAGUAGGUGUAAGGCUUUUAAUCUUACCCUCCCCAGACUUUGCUUAUGGGAUUACAUUGAGUUUGUUUUGCUUUGUCAUGUCCUCAACAAACUUUGGUAUCACUCACUUGUGCCUCCAUAGAGUCAAAGGAACUCAGGUUCCUCAUAAACAGAACUCUCUGUGAAAAAUAUCCACAAAUAAGGAUAUCAAAAAUUCAAAGGACAACACAAGAAAUCUGCUUUUGAUAUCAUAGCUUACUCGUCCACAAUGCUAAUCUGAUCAAAUGAAUAAACAAUGUCUACUUAUACAAAAAUUAGUCACAUAAUGUAUCAGCAUAUGUUAACAAUAGUGCUUAUAACCAAAUUAUAACACAGACUUAUCUUUUAAAACGACAUCGUUGUACCCAAAUAUUCUUACAAAACAAGCGAUCAACUGCUCUUGUAUCACAUCUUCAGCAGGAAGCUCUACAUAUGUCUCAUUCUUCAAAGACGUAACACCUUUAUCGACAAUCCCACAAGGCACAAUAUGCUUAAAGUAGUUUAAAUCAGGGUCCAUGUUGAAUGCUAAUCCAUGAGAUGUGAUGCCAGAUGAAAUUCUAACUCCAAUCGCGCCAAUCUUUCUGUCCUCAACCCAAACCCCAGUUUCGCAUUUUUGUCCAGCCUGUGCUUUCACACCAUACAUAGAUGCCAAUUCAAUCAUGGUUAGCUCAAGCUUCUCAACGUACAUUCUAGCCCCUAAACCAAUAUCUCUCAACGAAACAAUGGGAUAUAAGAUCGCUUGGUGAGGACCAUGAAAAGUAAUGUCACCUCCUCUUUGCGUAUAGUGAAGUUCCACCCCUAUGGACUUGAGCUCGGUAUCAGGAAUGAGUAGAUUAUGAAUUGUUUCCCUUUUGCCAACUGUAUACGUCGGUGGAUGUUGUAGAGAUAAUAGGGUAUCAGUAAUUUUUAGAGCUUUUCUAUUAGAUGCCAACUUCUCUUGCAGCUUUAAUGCCUCCAGGUAAUUUAUCGUGCCCAUCUUCCAAACCUCAAGGUUGCGCCUCAUUUGCCUGAACAUUACGAAACAAUCAAUCAUUCGUGUAAGUGAAGAAUACUGAAACAAAAUGACAAGAUCACGAUAUCAGAUUUGGUGGCCGGAGCAGUUUCUCAGGUCACAAACUUAUCCCAAAUGUUAUACUCUACAUUUUCUCAAAGUAAAGACAAAGAUACGCGCAUAGAAGAGUUUAAAACAAAUCUGAACUAUUACAAUCCAAAAUAAAAGAAGUUCGAUAAAGAAAACUUACACUACCUAAACUAGCUUAUUAUAUGCUUCACCUGAUGUCUCGAGGUCUUGUCCACAAACGGCCUCCAUUCUCACAUUUGUUUUCUUCCGGGAAAUGGAUACAUAUAUUAGAAAGUAAAUAAAAUCACACAAGCAAUCAAAUGUGUCUCAAAUUUUGCCUACCUGAACCUCAUUCAAUAGACUAAUAUUGCAAUAAAACUUGUUCCAUAAUUUAAACAAAACUUAUUCUAAAUCAUUAAUCAAUUAGGCUUCUUUAAUCACACAAAUCAUCUUUCAUCCCAAAUUCACCUAUUUAGCAAACCAUUAUUAUUCCUUUUAACUAGUCUUCAUUCUAAACAAACAGAUUGUCCAUUCCAUGAAUCACAGAAUCACAUCGCCAGCAUAUCAAAUCGUAAAGGAAACGAAAAUGAACAUAGAAUUGAAGAAUUGGAGCCCACUUCUCUUUGCAAUUUUGGCUAUAAACAGAGAGCUCUGAGAACUCUGAUUGAGAACACACUCGGAGUGACCAAUGACCUCAAAUAGUACUCAUUAUUCUCAACAGAGACUCACACCAGAGAUAUAUACAUUUAAAAUCCAAUUUAAAAAUUUGUCUUUGAAUCUGAUUAUUCAAUGUAAUGCCAAAUCAAGAUUUGGGGUUUUCCUUUUUUUUCCUUCUGUUAUUAGAUAAAGUAAUCAAUUUCAUAAUUUAGUUUACAACAACAAGAAACACCCCUUUUACAACAUACAACCCUAUAUGCUCAAAACUCAAAAGUUAAGGAAGCUAACAAAGCAAGAUCUGUUUUUUUUCCUUCAUUGACCUACCAUACAUCAAACAGAAAAGCCCCUUGAAAGCAUAUGAGUGUUCCAUCAAAAUAUUCACCAAAAAUGGAUUUUAAGAAAAAGGGAAACACUCAAAUCAAUUCAAAGAAAACAAAGUAAGUUAAGGAAAUAUAUAUAAAGAUAAAUAAGGUAAAGAGAGAACCUACAAGAUUUUUCAAUCUUAUUUUCUGUUAAUUUUCCACUCCAUUUCUUUCCACCAUUUGCUUCUCACAGUUUUUCCAUUAUUGGGUUAUUGGUUGGAUUUUGAGUUUGUAAUAUGAGUUAUUGGGUAAAUUGAUAAUCUAUUAAAAUUACAAUAAUUUAUUAUUGUUAGCCUUAGAUAAACAUUAAAUUCACUAUCUUACUUAUUGCUCACUUUUCCUUUUAACUUCAAUUUCACGCUAUAUGUUACUUUGAGUUUGCAAUUUCACAUUAUACUUUGUUUCUUUUAAUUUCUUUUUGUGUUGCACUUGUAUAACUCUUUUCACGUUAGUUAUUACUUAUUAUUAUUUCUAUUUUAUGAGCUCUAUAAAGUUAUAUAAUUAUUUUGUCAUUUUAAAUUAUUAAAGAAGUCAUAUAUUUAUUUUAUGAGUAUCUUUUAUUAGUAAAUUGAAAAUCAAAAUUAAUAAAUAUAAUCUUAUUAAUUUAGUAUAUUUAUAAACGAAAUCAAUAAUAUAUAAAAUCAAAUCGAACAAAAUAGACUAUAAGCACAUGGACAAAAUAUUACAUUAUCUUGUGGUAACCACUGGUCACCUUGGGAUCACGCUUAUCUCUCCACGUGUCAUACGAAGCUUCUAUUGAUAUCGAAUAUAUCUCCAUUAAUUUUUAUUUGCCUAUCACAUUAAUUAGAAAAAUUACAUGUUUAUUUUAUUUGUUGAUUUAUAAAGUUAAAAGAUAAUUUAAUUUACUUACUCAAUUUGUUUCUAUAUCUAUAUUUUUUGCCACUUCACUUUACGAAUUCAAUUUCUUGAGAGAGGUAUUGAAAAUAUUUUUCAAUUCAUGUAUGAAACGCUAAUUUCAUUUUCAAAAUUAUUGAAAAUCUUAAAAGACAUCUCUUUAUUUGAUUAAUUGAAUUUAAAUACAACUCGAUCUCUAAUAUAACAUAGUUGAUGGUCUCUUUAUUACUUUCUCUGUUUAUUUUUACUUGUCAAUUAUUCUUAAAAUAAAAUUUUCAUUGUACUCGUCACUUUUGACAUACAAAAAAAAACAAAAAUAUUUGUUCAUGUUUACCCUCAAUAUUAAAUACCGUUCCUUCAAAUUAUUUAGACUUAAUAGUUAAUACUAAACAUAUCUGUGACAAAUAAUUGUGAGGAACAAGCAAGCCUCUCACCAUUAACAUAAUCAUUUAGCCAUGGAAUACGACAAAGUGGCCAGGAAUGAAGAAAUAUUUUGGAGGCAGAGAUCCAGAGUCCAGUCGAUAAAAUGUGGUUAUAAAAACACUAAGUUUUUUCACAGAAUGGCCACUGCACGUAAAAGACUCAACACUAUAGAUUCCUUGUUGAUCAAUGGAGAACUAUCUAGUGAUCUUGUGGCUAUCAAGGGCUCCAUUGUGGAUUUUUAUCAAGAUCUCUACAAAGAAUCAGAAAAUUGGAGACCUUAUUUGAAUCUUUAUGAAGUACAAGGCAUUUCAACAGAAGAAAGAAACAACCUUGAGAGAGGUUUUGAGGAAGAAGAGGUAUUGGCAGGGAUAAAGAUAUGUGCUGCAGAAAAAGCACAUGGAUCAGAUGGCCAUAUCAUGGCUUUCUUUCAAGCUUUCUGGGAAACAAUAAAAGAAGAACUGAUGCAGACAUUCCACAUAUUUCACCCUCACCACAAGUUUGAGAAAAGCUUCAAUGCCACCUUUGUAGCUUUGAUUCCUAAGAAGGUUGGAGCAAAUGAUCUAAGAUAUUUCAGACCCAUUAGUCCAAUCUCCAGGGUCUACAAAAUCAUAGCAAAGGUGUUGGCUGAGAGAUUAAAGAGGGUGAUAAGCAGAGUUGUAAACAACCACCAGAUGGCUUUCAUCAAAUGGAGGCAACUAAUGGAUGUUGCUCGUAUUGCUAGUGAAUGCAUCGACACCAGGAUUAGAGGAGAUGUGCCUGGAGUUAUGUGCAAAUUAGAUAUUGAAAAGGCCUUUGACCACCUGAACUGGAGUUUCUUGUUGACCACUCUCAGGCAAAUGGGAUUCGGGAGAAGGUGGACUAAGUGGAUAGAAUUUUGUAUCAAUAUUACCAGGUUCUCCUUUCGUUACCAUUUUCAAAAAAAAUAUUACCAGGUUCUCCACUCUGAGACAAAGGGAUCCCUUGUCCCCCCCCUUUCCUGUUUAUCAUAGCUAUGGAAGGGCUAGGCAGUCUAAUGAAAAGCUGCAACAAACAACUGGAUAAAAGGCUUCAACAUUAAGAACAGAAACAAUGAAAUCAUGGAGGUGACUCACUUAUUAUAUGCCGAUGACACUGUGGUUUUCUGCAAAGCUGAACAAGAACAAAUUUGCUACCAAAGGGUGAUACUGGUGAUCUUUGAAGCUUGCUUUGGGUUGAAGAUUAACUAGAGGAAAAACAAUAUUUUUCCAGUGAAAGAGGUGCAACAAAUUCAGUCUCUGGCAGAUAUUUUGAGGUGCAGGAUAGAGGAGCUGCCCACAAAUUAUUUGGGAAUGCCAUUGGGUGCUAAUCACAAAGUUGUGAAUAUAUGGGAUGGAAUAAUAGAGAAAACAGAAAAAAAAACUAGCUCUUUGGAAAUCACAAUACCUUUCCCUGGGGAGUAGAGUUGUUUUGAUCAAUGCAGUCCUAGAUUCUCUGCCAACAUAUGUAAUGUCUUUAUUUACCAUCCCCGGUGAGGUGGUGGAAAUCUUAGACAAGUUGAGGAGGGAUUUCUUAUGGCAAGGAAGCAAGAUUGAGAAAAGUUUCAACCUGAUAAAAUGGAGCACAGUUCAGCAAAGCAAGUUUUGGAGGUCUAAGAGUGAGGAACUUAAAGCUUCAUAAUAAGAGUUUACUUAUCAAAUGGCUAUGGAGAUUUACUCAAGAAAAUCAGUCCUUGUGGAGGGAGAUUAUCCUUCAUGAGUAUGGUCCGGAGGGGCAGUGGUGCACUAAUAAAGUGACUAAUACAUAUGGGGUUGGGGUUUGGAAAUCUAUCAGGAAUCUAUGGAUGACUCUCAAGCUAAACACUAAAGUUAGAGUUGGUAGGGGAGACAAGAUACUUUUUUGAGAAGAGGACUGGAGUGGUCAUGGCACACUUCACUCCCUUUUUCCUGAACUGUUCUAAAUAAGCUUGAAUACUGGAUGCAGUAUACAAGAAAUGUGGUCCCCUCAAGGGUGGAACCGGACUUUCAGAAGACCCCUAAAUGAUUGGGAAAUACCAUGGGUGGUAGAUUUUCUAAAACUAAUAGGAAACUUCCCGGGCACUAAUACAGAUGGAAUUCUCACUAUUAACAAAGUAUACACAAAAGGGGACUGAGUGUUGCUACUGGCAGGUCAACUGGACCUUGGAUUACUAUAUGGAAGAGUGUGGCUCCUAAUAAAGUGAAAUGCUUCACUUGGCUAGUAGCUAGGAAAGCAUGCUUGACACAUGAGGCAUUGCAAAAAAGGAGGCACUAGAAACCAACAAACACCUUUUCAUGCAUUACAAAGUAACGACACAAGUUUGGGCUAUGUUCACUUCGAUUGCUGGAAUCAACUGGAUCAUACAUGAACAUACUACAUAUUUGCUUAGCUGUUGGAUCAGAAGAGGAGGAAGCAAAAGCCAAAAAAAAAUGGUGGAGGACAGUCCCAACCUGCAUUUGGCGGACCAUUUGGAAGGAGAGGAACCAGAGGAUCUUUGAAGGAAAAGAAUCCUCUAUUUUGAAGGUUAAGUGGAAAGUUAUUACUUCACUAGGUUUUUGGUGUAAAGAACAGAGUAUAGAAGAAGAAAUCCAACUAGUGGACUUUAUAGGCUCUUUGUAAGUAUCUCUCUUUUCUUUUUUGUAAAUUUUUUGGAGGUGGCCAGCAUAGCCUUAAUGUUGAAUGAAUACAAUUUACCAAUUUCAAAAAAAAUAAAACUGAAGGUUAAAAGGAAAAGUGAGCAAUCAGUAAGAUAGUGAAAUUAAUAUUUAAUAUUUAUCUAAGGCUAAAAAUAAUAAAUUAUUAUAAUUUUAAUAGAUUAUCAAUUUACCCAAUAAUUCAUAUUACAAACUCAAAAUCCAACCAAUAACUUGUUAAUGGAAAAACUGUGAGAAGCAAAGGGUGGAAAGAAAUGGAGUGGAAAAUUAACAGAAAAUAAGAUUUUGCAGUGAAUUAAAGCUUCCCCUGAAAAAUCUUGUAGGUUCUCUCUCUACCUUAUUUAUCUUUAUAUAUAUUUCCUAACUUACUUUUCUUUCUUUGAAUUGAUUCGAGUGUUUCCUUUUUUCUUAAUAACUGUAUUGAAUUACUCUUCUUUCAUCAAGAAUUGAAAAAGUAUUGAAUUUUUUUCCUUAUUGCCAAAUAUAGCUUCACCAAAAGGGUGAUGGGGAAAAAAUCCAUUCUUGGUGAAUAUUUUGAUGUAACACUCAUGCUUUCAAGGGGAUUUUCUAUUUGAUGUAUGGUAGGUAAAUGAAGGGGAAAAAACUAGAUCUUGCUUUGUUAGCUUCCUUAACUUUUGAGUUUUGAGCAUAUAGGGUUGUAUGUUGUAAAAGGGGUGUUUCUUGUUGUUGUAAACUAAAUUAUGAAAUUGAUUACUUUAUCCAAUAACAGAAGGAAAAAAAGGAAAACCCCAGAUCUUGAUUUGGCAUUAUAUUGAAUAAUCAGAUUCAAAGACAAAUUUUUAAAUUGGAUUUUAAAUGUAUAUAUCCCUGGUGAGAGUCUUUGUUGUACUAUCUGAGGUCAUUGGUCACUCCGAGUAUUGUUCUCAAUCAGAGUUCUCAGAGCUCUUUGUUUAUAGCCAAAAUUGCAAAGAGAAGUAAGGUUCCAAUUCUUCAACUCUAUGUUCAUUUUCGUUUCCUUUUCGAUUUGAUAUUUUGGCGAUGUGAUUUUGUGAUUCAUGGAAUGGGCAAUCUGUUUGUUUAGAAUGAAGACUAGUUUAAAAGGAAUAAUAAUGGUUUGCUAAAUAGGUGAAUUUGGGAUGAAAGAUGAUUUGUGUGAUUAAAGAAGCCUAAUUGAUUAAUGAUUUAGAAUAAGUUCUGUUUAAAUUAUGGAACAAGUUUUAUUGCAAUAUUAGUCUAUGAAUGAGGUUCAUGUAGGCAAAAUUUGAGACACAUUUGAUUGCUUGUGUGAUUUUAUUUGCUUUCUAAUAUCAUGUAUCCAUUUCCCGGAAAAAAACAAAUGUGAGAAUGGAGGGCGUUAAUGGACAGAUUUGUUUUAAACUCUUCUAUGCGCGUAAGGCGUAUCUUUGUCUUUACUUUGAGAAAAUGUAGAGUAUAACAUUUGGGAUAAGUUUGUGAUCUGAGAAACUGCUCCGGCCACAAAAUCUGAUAUUGUGAGCUUGUCAUUUUGUUUCAGUAUUCUUCACUUACACGAAUGAUUGAUUGUUUCGUGAUGUUCAGGCAAAUGAGGCGCAGUCGUGAGGUUUGGAAGAUGGGCACGGUAAAUUACCUGGAGGCACUGAAGUUGCAAGAGAAGCUGGCAUCUGAUAGAAAAGCUUUACAAAUUAUUAAUACCCUAUUAUCCCUACAACAUCCACCGACAUAUAUAGUUGGCAAAAGGGAAACAGUUCAUAAUCUACUCAUUCCUAAUUCCGAGCUCAAGUCCAUGGGGGUAGAACUUCACUAUACGCAUAGAGGAGGUGACAUUACUUUUCAUGGUCCUCACCAAGCGAUCUUAUAUCCCAUUGUUUCGUUGAGAGAUAUUGGUUUAGGGGCUAGAAUGUACGUUGAGAAGCUUGAGCUAACCAUGAUUGAAUUGGCAUCUAUGUAUGGUGUGAAAGCACAGGCUGGACAAAAAUGCGAAACUGGGGUUUGGGUUGAGGGCAGAAAGAUUGGCGCGAUUGGAGUUAGAAUUUCACCUGGGAUCACAUCUCAUGGAUUAGCAUUCAACAUGGACCCUGAUUUAAACUACUUUAAGCAUAUUGUGCCUUGUGGGAUUAGCGAUAAAGGUGUUAUGUCUUUGAAGAAUGAGACAGAUGUAGAGCUUCAUGCUGAAGAUGUGAUACAGGAGUAGUUGAUCGCUUGUUUUGUAAGAAUAUUUAGGUACAACGAUGUCGUUUUAAAAGAUAAGUUUGUGUUAUAAUUUGAUUAUAAGCACUAAUGUUACAUUAUGUGACUAAUUUUUGUAUAAGUAGACAUUGUUCAUUCAUUUGAUCAGAUUAGCAUUGUGGACGAGUAAGCGAUGAUAUCAAAAGCAGAUUUCUUGUGCUGUCCUUUGAAUUUUUAAUAUCCUUAUUUGUGGAUAUUUUUCACAAAGAGUUCUGUUUAUGAGGAACCUGAGUUCCUUUGACCCUAUGGAGGCACAGGUGAGUGAUACCAAAGUUUGUUGAAGACAUGACAAAGCAAAACAAACUCAAUGUAAUCCCAUAAGUAAAGUCUGAGAAGGGUAAGAUUAAAAGCCUUACACCUACUUUUGUGACGUAGAGAGAUUGUUUCUGAUUGACCCUCUAACUUCCAAGUUUGAGACCAUCAAUAUGAACGAGCUCUAAGGCCGACUCAAUAAGAUUGGGGGACUAAAUCGAAAUAUAAGAUAGGGCCCUAAUACUUUUAUUUUUUCAUUAUACAUACUUUUGUUUAAAAUCUAUUUUUCUAGCUUUUUUAGAUGUGAAAUCGUUAAUUAUUAUUUAUAAUCGAUUUGUUUAAUAAUUCCUUUUAAAUUAAUAAUCCACUCAAUCUCUCUUAAGACAUUGUUGAUCUUAAAUAAGAUUUAAAUCGAUUUUAGUUUCGAAAAACUUCUUUAGGAUGAGGUAACGGUUACAGCAAACAUUUUCUAUAAGCAAUAUGUAUAUUCUAGAUGGUAGGAAACUUUCACAACACCCAAAUCAGAAAAGACACAAUCUUGCUCGAUUCAACAAAAACCCAGGAAAUAAGGCGAUCUUAACGGCGGUAGAAAACCCAUUUACCUAACCCUAAAACUGGGAAUCAAAAGAACAAUAAUAUCAUCACAAUCAACUAACAAUUCUGAAGGGAAUAUACACAUAAAGCAAGAUUUAAAAGAAAAGGAAUAAAACAUGGCAAAAAAGUAGACAAUUACUCACAAAUUAGUCAAUCAAAAAAAGUUUUAAAAAGCCGAAAUUGGUAAAGUAAGCCAGGAAAUUUCCCGACCGGCAAGAAGAAUAGGGUUCUUACCGGUAAUCGGCGGGUGGGUCGGAGGAGACAGGAGAGAUUGCGGCCUCCGAACAGUGAAAAGAGAGAAAGUGUAAGAAGUGUUUUUGGGUUUUGAUUUCUGUCUGUGAAAUUUUCUC